CUCAAGAUAGUGUAUAUAUUCACUGACAGGCACUCUUUCAACUUGCACCGAUUUCCUUAGACUUGAAAUUGUCAAGAUAUUUUUCCUUUAAAGGAAAUGAUUUAACGAUGUCGGCCUUUAUUAUCCUCUUAAUCUUAUCCUAUAUUUCUAUUACUUUUUCUGCGGAUACAAAUACUACAAGCGAGUGCAAUGAAGUUUUUUGGGAAGUUAAAUUAGACUAUGGAAGAAAUGUUACACUUAUUUGUAAAACAAAUACGAAAGAUUUAUGUACAAAGUGCAGAAAAGUAUGGUAUGGAGGCCCUGAAUUUUCAUUACUAUCGCUAGAUGGUUUUCCGUCAGAAUAUUCUUCAAAGUAUUGGCCUUUCUUAGGAAAGAACGGAUUUGAAAUAAUAAUAAGAAAUUUCAGUACGGAAGAUUUGAAUCAAGACUACAUAUGUUCAAUUGGUGAAUACUCUUGCAAAAGAAACCUGACUAUCAACAUGUUUGACAAGCAAGCAUUAGACAGGGAUGUACCAGGAGAUGAUUCAAAUUCAAGUUCCAACAGCAAGGACAUACUGAUUGCAAUUUUAAUAGGUAUCGGAGUUUCCGGAAUUAUAAUUUCCAUUAUUUUGUUUUUGUUUUUCGCAGUACUCAAAUAUGAAUGCUGUGUGUGUAAUGAAACCCAGUCGUACAGAACGGACUCUCCUAUGUUUAACCAUGUUAACAGAUCUGGAUCAGUAAAAUCUAAUUAUAGCCAUAAUAUUCAAAUUACUAGUGAUGAAACAAAACACCCAUUUAUCAAACCUUUGACAUACCCCAAAGAUGAAAAAACACAUAGAGAAGAAAAAGGAUGGAUUUCCAACAAUCGAGUGCAUCGCGAUAAUGGAUUUGACGAUAAUUACGUUACAGAUAGUUUUUGAUGUUUUAUUUGUCUGAAAUAUUGAAAUAGCAUUUGCAGUUACGAUCAUUGUUGCAUUGAUAAGUAUUAU
Molecule: long non-coding RNA, 968 nt
Organism: Mytilus californianus (California mussel)
Lineage: Eukaryota; Metazoa; Mollusca; Bivalvia; Mytilida; Mytilidae
Exons: 3
Source: RefSeq, a predicted model, not a curated record